UUAACUGUUGAUUCAACUGUUGUUUAAGUUACAAUCACAAGGGGUUUGGUAACAAGAAAUUGCUGACAAUAGUUGUCUUAUUUAUUACGUAUGAGAAU
Long non-coding RNA from Hippocampus comes (tiger tail seahorse), 98 nucleotides. RefSeq lists it as uncharacterized. The record is from RefSeq and is a predicted model, not a curated record. The transcript is spliced from 3 exons. Lineage: Eukaryota; Metazoa; Chordata; Actinopteri; Syngnathiformes; Syngnathidae.